AUAUGGAUGAUUGAGUAUAAGAACUUAAACCGCAACCGGAUCUUAAAAGCCUAAGUAUUGUAUCCAUGUUAGAAGAUACAAAGACAAAGACUCAUACGGACUUCCACUACACCAUCAAAGCUUUGAAAAUCAAGAAGAAGCUUGGUUAGUGUUUUGGGGUCGAAUAUGACUUGAUGUGAUGUGUAUGAUUGAGUAUAAAAACUUAAACCGCAACCGGAUCUUAAAAGCCUAAGUAGUGUUUCCUUGUUCGAAGAUACAAAGCCAAAGCCUCAUACGUACUUUAGCUACACCAUCAAAGCUUUGAGAAGCAAGAAUAAGCUUGGUUAGUGUUUUGGAGUCAAAUAUGACUAGAUGUCAUGUGUAUGAGUGAGUAUAACAAGUAGAAGCGCAACCUGAUCUUAAAAGCCUAUGUAUUGUAUCCUUGUUGGAAGAUACAAAGACAAAGACUCAUACGGACUUCCGCUACACAAUCAAAGCUUCGAAAAUCAAGAAGAAGCUUGGUUAGUGUUUUGGAGUAGAAUAUGACUUUAUGUCAUGUGGAUGAUUGAGUAUAAGAACUUAAACUGCAACCGGAUCUUAAAAGGCUAAGUAUUGUAUCCUUGUUAGAAGAUACAAAGACAAAGACUCCUACGGACUUCCGCUACACCAUCAAAAGUUUGAGAAUCAAGAAGAAGCUUCGUUAGUGUUUUGGAGUCGAAUAUGACUUGAUGUGAUGUGUAUCAUUGAGUAUAAGAACUUAAACCGCAACCGGAUCUUAAAAGCCUAAGUAGUGUUUCCUUGUUCGAAGAUACAAAGCCAAAAC
RNAcentral lists this small RNA (802 nucleotides) under Arabidopsis thaliana (thale cress). Its description in RNAcentral is "ATSL271870". The record is from RNAcentral. Lineage: Eukaryota; Viridiplantae; Streptophyta; Magnoliopsida; Brassicales; Brassicaceae.